ACAAGAAAUAAUCUGUCUUAGGUUAAUAUAUUGAAUUUAACUUUUAAGUGAAAAGGCUUAAAUAAUCUGAAGGGACGAUAAGACCCUAUAAAACUUUAUAUUGAAAAGUGGUAGGCACGAUUUGUUUAAGGUUAUUACUUUAAAGUAUUUGGUUGGGGUGACAAGAAUAGAAUGAAAAGUAACUGUUUUUUUUUUUUAACAGUGAUGUUUGAGUUUAUGAUCCUAAAAUGGAUUAAAAGAUUAAGUUACUUUAGGGAUAACAGCGUAAUUUUCUUUAAGAGUUCUUAUCGAUAAGAAAGUUUGCGACCUCGAUGUUGAAUUAAAGGUUCUUUAUGGAGAAGAGACUAUAAAAGAAGGUCUGUUCGA
This 366-nucleotide ribosomal RNA is filed under the name Cambarus cf. deweesae Roaring Paunch. RNAcentral's name for it is "partial 16S large subunit ribosomal RNA". The stretch from base 43 to 366 matches the Rfam family "Bacterial large subunit ribosomal RNA", at positions 2048 to 2584 of the family's 2925-position model. The record is from RNAcentral. Lineage: Eukaryota; Metazoa; Arthropoda; Malacostraca; Decapoda; Cambaridae.